UUACAUGCAAGUCGAGCGGAUGAAGGUACUUCGCUCCCUGACCUAGCGGCGGACGGGUGAGUAAUGCUUAGGAAUCUGCCUAUUAAUGGGGGACAACAUCUCGAAAGGGAUGCUAAUACCGCAUACGCCCUACGGGGGAAAGCAGGGGAUCUCUUGUGAUCUUGCUAUCAUAUAUGACCCUGACUCAUAUUAUCUAUGUGGAGGGGAUGACGCCUACCAGCGACACUAUCUGUCUGGGCUCUGAGAAGAUGAUCCGCCACUCUGACACUGACACACGGCCCACACUCCUACGAGACGCAGCAGUGGAGUAUAUUGCACUGUGGGAGGAACUCUGAUCCACACGUGCCGCGUGUGUGAAGAGUGUCUUAUGGGUGUAAAGCUCUUUAAUCGAAGAAGAGGCUCUUCUAUAUUAUACCUAUGAUGAGUGGACGCUACUCGAAUAAUAACCACCUGAUACCUCUGUGCCAGCAGCCGCAGUACUACAGAGGCUGCCAGCGAUCAUCAUAUCUGCUGGGCGUAAACCGUGCGGAGGCGUGUUUUUAAGUCGGAUGUGAAAUCCCCGUCCUUAUCUUGACAGUUGCCUUCAAUGCUGAGAUGCUAUACUAUGGAAGAUGAUGGAAUAAUUCCAGGAGUAGCGAAGAAAUGCGAAGAGAUCUGGAGGAAUACCGAUGGCGAAGGCAGCCAUCUGGCCUAAUACUGACGCUGAGGUACGAAAGCAUGAGGAGCAAACAUGAUUACAUACCCUGGUAGUCCAUGCCGCAAACGAUGUCUACUAGCCGUAGGCGUCUUAGAUGCUUUAGUGGCGCAACUAACUCGAUAGAUAGACCGCCUGGGGAGUACGGUCGCAUGACUAUCACUCGAAUGAAUUGACGGCCGCCCGCACAAUGGAUGAAGCAUGUAUUCAUUCGAUGCACACAAACACCUACCUGGGCUUGCAUAGAACUAUCUUACAUAGAUGGAUGCUGCCUCAGGAUCUACAUACGGUGCUGCAUGGCUGCNCUCGCUCGGGCGGAAUGGUGAGUAAGUCCCGAACGAAGCCAUCCUUUUCUUACUGCGUAUUCGGGGGGUACUUUAAGAUACUGCCACA
This 1087-nucleotide ribosomal RNA is filed under the name Acinetobacter sp. Its description in RNAcentral is "bacterial SSU rRNA". It matches the Rfam family "Bacterial small subunit ribosomal RNA", at positions 51 to 1156 of the family's 1533-position model. Lineage: Bacteria; Pseudomonadati; Pseudomonadota; Gammaproteobacteria; Moraxellales; Moraxellaceae. The record is from RNAcentral.